AAAUAAAUUUUUUAUGAUUUAAAUAUUUUUUUUUAAAUUUAUUUUACAUAUAAAUUAUAGUAUAAAAUUUUAAUUAUUUAAAUAAUAAUUAAUUUUAUUUGUAGUAAUUAGCAUUAAAAAUUUAAGAAAUUAAGAUUUAUUAAUAUUAAAAUUAAUAACAAAUUUUGUGCCAGCAGUUGCGGUUAUACAAAAAUUAAAUUAAAUUUUAUUAGUGAUUAAUAAAUAUUUAAAUUAUAAUUAAUUUAAAUAUUGAAUUAUUAAGUAAAAUUUUAAUUUAAUUAAAAAUUAUAUUAAUAUUAUUAUGAUUUAAUAAAUUUUGAUUUAAACUAGGAUUAGAUACCCUAUUAUUAAAAAUUUAAAUAGAAAUACUAAAAUAGUAUGUAAUUAUUUAUUGAAACUUAAAUAAUUUGGCGGUAUUUUAGUUCAUUUAGAGGAAUCUGUUUAUUAAUUGAUAAUCCACGAAUAAUUUUACUUAAUUAAAAAUUUUGUAUAUCGUUGUUAGAAAAAUAUUUUUACAUGAUUUUAAUAUUUAAAAAUUAGAAUUAAAAAUUAAAUCAGAUCAAGAUGCAGAUUAUAGUUAAGAAUAUAAUGGAUUACAAUAAAUUUAUUUAAACGGAUUAUUAAUUGAAAAAUUAAAUUGAAGGUGGAUUUAAAUGUAAUUUUUAUUAAUUUAUAAUAAUGAUUAAAAAUUAAAAUAUGUACAUAUUGCCCGUCGCUUUCAUUUAUAAAUUGAAAUAAGUCGUAACAAAGUAGAGGUACUGGAAAGUGUUUCUAGAAACAA
Molecule: non-coding RNA, 781 nt
Filed under: Ancylis sativa
Lineage: Eukaryota; Metazoa; Arthropoda; Insecta; Lepidoptera; Tortricidae
Source: RNAcentral